GCAUUACAAUUAUAAUUUCAGACUGUUGAAUUUGUGAAAGAGUGACUUAAUUUAAAAAUUAUGUACGCAAACCCUUCACUUACGAAGCAUAUCACAUGUAAAGUAGGAAAUUAAAAAUGGUACGAAGGAAAGCAAGGGCCAGAUGGAAAAGAUAUGCAAAUUGCAAUCAAUACAAGCAAAUUAACUGAAGAUUGUCUUAAGGGUCAAGAGGAAAGAGUAAAGGACUUUAUUACACUUGACACCCAGCUUCUCUAUUAUGCAAUUACCAUGAGCUAAUUGUGCUCUUUCAGGCUUUCUUCUGUUUUGGUGCUGGCGGAGGGAAGACGAGGCGGAAGACCCAAGCAGCCAAUAUUGCUCCUACGAAGGGGCAAAUCCAAUAAACAUAGAAUUGUUCCCAUGUAUCGUGCCUUUUGUUUAUAUAUGCCCACCCAAAUGCAUUAGCAGGAUUCAUGGAAGGCCCAGUGUAUUUGGAACCUGAGACAACCAAUGUUACAGUUACAACGGCAAGCAACCAAUUCUGCACCAGUGAGUUACGAGGACCCCUAAGUAUAAUUACAAGAACAGCAAAGCUAAUUAAAAAUGUCAACACCCCCUCAGCAAUGGCUCCAGUAUGCAAGUCAACUUUCAAAGUAGGGCCUCCAAGCAUGUGCUUAUACUGUGGUGGCAUCACCUCCAAAAUGGCCAACGCACCACCCACAGCACCUGCUGCCUGAGCAGGGAAUCUCAGGGCCAUGGAGAAGAGAUUAUCCCCACCAAACCCAGCAGCAUAGAAAGAAGCAGUACCAGUGGGAUUAAAACUGGCUCCACCCAAGAACUCAGCGAUCAGGCCAAACAAGAAAACAAAUACAAAAACAAUAACAGUAGUAAUAAAAAGAGAGGCCCAAAACUGGUGAUGAACGCCGAGCGCAGUGGCUAUGAGGCUGGUAAAGAAGCCGAACAUUGAUGAGCAGAAGACCCACAUGAACGUGAGCACAGCAUCACCAAUAGCCGACUUUAUCGCACCCAUUGGUACUCCCUAAAGCUUUUCGUUUCUGGGUUUGAUAGCUAUAGUCUGGUUAAGUAGAAGGAAUCAGCUGGGUAUCAGAUGAAAAGAGAAAACUUGGUGGUGCUUAGUUGGCCUGGGAUAUUUGUGCGAGUUUUGGCAGGAACUGGGAAAGUGAACGUUUCAAGAUGGGAUUUUUUAGUUUGGGUUUUGUUUGUGAUUUACCUAACCAGAAGAAGCUCUUCUUCUGUUCUUUCCAUGUUUCAUUAGGACUCUCUUUC
This 1263-nucleotide unclassified non-coding RNA is filed under the name Hevea brasiliensis (rubber tree). The record is from RNAcentral. Lineage: Eukaryota; Viridiplantae; Streptophyta; Magnoliopsida; Malpighiales; Euphorbiaceae.